AACGAACGCUGGCGGCAGGCUUAACACAUGCAAGUCGAACGCCCCGCCAGGGGAGUGGCAGACGGGUGAGUAACGCGUGGGAACAUACCCUUUUCUACGGAAUAGCUCUGGGAAACUGGAAUUAAUACCGUAUACGCCCUACGGGGGAAAGAUUUAUCGGGGAAGGAUUGGCCCGCGUUGGAUUAGCUAGUUGGUGGGGUAAAGGCCUACCAAGGCGACGAUCCAUAGCUGGUCUGAGAGGAUGAUCAGCCACAUUGGGACUGAGACACGGCCCAAACUCCUACGGGAGGCAGCAGUGGGGAAUAUUGGACAAUGGGCGCAAGCCUGAUCAAGCCAUGCCGGGUGAGUGAUGAAGGCCUUAGGGUUGUAAAGCUCUUUCACAGAUGAAGAUAAUGACGGUAGUCGGAGAAGAAGCACCGGCUAACUUCGUG
This 431-nucleotide ribosomal RNA is filed under the name uncultured bacterium. RNAcentral's name for it is "partial 16S ribosomal RNA". It matches the Rfam family "Bacterial small subunit ribosomal RNA", at positions 29 to 507 of the family's 1533-position model. The record is from RNAcentral.